AACGGGUUAAAGUGCUUGGCUACUAACCAAAAAGUCGGUGGUUCGAGCCCACCACCCGCUU
This 61-nucleotide transfer RNA is filed under the name Loxodonta africana (African savanna elephant). It matches the Rfam family "tRNA", at positions 14 to 71 of the family's 71-position model. From Rfam's summary of the family: Transfer RNA (tRNA) molecules are approximately 80 nucleotides in length. Lineage: Eukaryota; Metazoa; Chordata; Mammalia; Proboscidea; Elephantidae. The record is from Rfam by way of RNAcentral.